UGCGUAGGCGGAUCAAUAAGUCAGUGGUGAAAUCUCUCGGCUCAACCGGGAAACUGCCAUUGAUACUGUUGAUCUUGAGUUCGGUUGAGGUAGGCGGAAUGUGUAAUGUAGCAGUGAAAUGCUUAGAUAUUACACAGAACACCAAUUGCGUAGGCAGCUUACUAGACCGACACUGACGCUGAGGCACGAAAGCGUGGGGAGCGAACAGGAUUAGAUACCCUGGUAGUCC
Molecule: ribosomal RNA, 229 nt
Filed under: uncultured bacterium
Lineage: Bacteria
Description: partial 16S ribosomal RNA
Rfam family: Bacterial small subunit ribosomal RNA
Source: RNAcentral